This 348-nucleotide unclassified non-coding RNA is filed under the name Hevea brasiliensis (rubber tree). The record is from RNAcentral. Lineage: Eukaryota; Viridiplantae; Streptophyta; Magnoliopsida; Malpighiales; Euphorbiaceae.
GGUAAGGAACAGCCCUAGCACUAAGUAUGCUAGCAUUGUGCUGGGAGGAAGCAAUAUACUUAUUGGAGCCUACAGGCCGUGAGGCAGAAGGCACCUGCCACCUAACCGAUGAAGAAUGCGUUCUACCAAAUUGAGGCACAGAACAAGUGUUCGGUGAAUUGUAUCCAGAUCUAUCAGUUGCAAACGCCUGUCCAGAUGACCCUGCCCUUUUGAAUGCUGUCCGGGGAGUAAAAAACUGGGGACCCAUGUGACCAACACUGUGCCUUCUAUCCCCUGGAGUAACAUUAAUGCUUGCAUUGCGCAACUGUUGAGAGACAACAUGGCUAUGAAAUUUGUCUCUAAGAGCAG